UGAAGCCCAGCUUGCUGGGUGGAUUAGUGGCGAACGGGUGAGUAACACGUGAGUAACCUGCCCUUGACUCUGGGAUAAGCGCUGGAAACGGCGUCUAAUACCGGAUACGACCUGCCCCGGCAUCGGGUGCGGGUGGAAAGUUUUUCGGUCAAGGAUGGACUCGCGGCCUAUCAGGUAGUUGGUGAGGUAAUGGCUCACCAAGCCGACGACGGGUAGCCGGCCUGAGAGGGUGACCGGCCACACUGGGACUGAGACACGGCCCAGACUCCUACGGGAGGCAGCAGUGGGGAAUAUUGCACAAUGGGCGAAAGCCUGAUGCAGCAACGCCGCGUGGGGGAUGACGGCCUUCGGGUUGUAAACCUCUUUUAGUAGGGAAGAAGGGCUUCGGCUUGACGGUACCUGCAGAAAAAGCACCGGCUAACUACGUGCCAGCAGCCGCGGUAAUACGUAGGGUGCAAGCGUUGUCCGGAAUUAUUGGGCGUAAAGAGCUCGUAGGCGGUUUGUCGCGUCUGCUGUGAAAACCCGAGGCUCAACCUCGGGCCUGCAGUGGGUACGGGCAGACUAGAGUGCGGUAGGGGAGAAUGGAAUUCCUGGUGUAGCGGUGGAAUGCGCAGAUAUCAGGAGGAACACCGAUGGCGAAGGCAGUUCUCUGGGCCGUUACUGACGCUGAGGAGCGAAAGCGUGGGGAGCGAACAGGAUUAGAUACCCUGGUAGUCCACGCCGUAAACGUUGGGAACUAGAUGUGGGGACCUUUCCACGGUCUCCGUGUCGCAGCUAACGCAUUAAGUUCCCCGCCUGGGGAGUACGGCCGCAAGGCUAAAACUCAAAGGAAUUGACGGGGGCCCGCACAAGCGGCGGAGCAUGCGGAUUAAUUCGAUGCAACGCGAAGAACCUUACCAAGGCUUGACAUAUACCGGAAACUUCCAGAAAUGGUUGCCCCGCAAGGUCGGUAUACAGGUGGUGCAUGGUUGUCGUCAGCUCGUGUCGUGAGAUGUUGGGUUAAGUCCCGCAACGAGCGCAACCCUCGUUCUAUGUUGCCAGCACGUCAUGGUGGGAACUCAUAGGAGACUGCCGGGGUCAACUCGGAGGAAGGUGGGGAUGACGUCAAAUCAUCAUGCCCCUUAUGUCUUGGGCUUCACGCAUGCUACAAUGGCCGGUACAAAGGGCUGCGAUACCGUAAGGUGGAGCGAAUCCCAAAAAGCCGGUCUCAGUUCGGAUUGAGGUCUGCAACUCGACCUCAUGAAGUCGGAGUCGCUAGUAAUCGCAGAUCAGCAACGCUGCGGUGAAUACGUUCCCGGGCCUUGUACACACCGCCCGUCAAGUCAUGAAAGUCGGUAACACCCGAAGCCAGUGGCCUAACCGCAAGGAGGGAGCUGUCGAAGGUGGGAUCGG
This 1392-nucleotide ribosomal RNA is filed under the name Rathayibacter festucae. Its description in RNAcentral is "bacterial SSU rRNA". It matches the Rfam family "Bacterial small subunit ribosomal RNA". Lineage: Bacteria; Bacillati; Actinomycetota; Actinomycetes; Micrococcales; Microbacteriaceae. The record is from RNAcentral.